GUGCUUCAGCGGCACACAUACUAAAAUUGGAACGGUACAGAGAAGAUUGGCAUGGCCCCUGUACAAGGAUGACACACAAAUUUGUGAAGCGUUCCAUGUUUUU
Herpailurus yagouaroundi (jaguarundi) is the source of this 103-nucleotide small nuclear RNA. The record is from RefSeq and is a predicted model, not a curated record. Lineage: Eukaryota; Metazoa; Chordata; Mammalia; Carnivora; Felidae.